RNAcentral lists this transfer RNA (73 nucleotides) under Pseudarthrobacter chlorophenolicus. RNAcentral's name for it is "tRNA_Thr_CGT". It matches the Rfam family "tRNA". From Rfam's summary of the family: Transfer RNA (tRNA) molecules are approximately 80 nucleotides in length. The record is from RNAcentral. RNAcentral also lists the same sequence under 1 other name. Lineage: Bacteria; Bacillati; Actinomycetota; Actinomycetes; Micrococcales; Micrococcaceae.
GCCCCGUUAGCUCAGAUGGUAGAGCGCUUCUCUCGUAAAGAAGAGGUCGCCGGCUCGAUUCCGGCACGGGGCU